Molecule: non-coding RNA, 323 nt
Organism: Pogona vitticeps (central bearded dragon)
Lineage: Eukaryota; Metazoa; Chordata; Lepidosauria; Squamata; Agamidae
Source: RefSeq, a predicted model, not a curated record
AGAACGCUUUGAUUGAGAAUGUUCUACAGUCAAUGAAGGGCAUUUCAGGGCUGGUUUAGCCGGAAGGGUUGCAUGAGUUGAUAGCGAAUGUUGAGACCGGAGUCGACGUUGAGGAGGAGAUGGAGAGAGUGAAGGAACAUGCUCUGCCUCCUGUUGUCUGUAGGAGUUAUUGGCUGCAAUGCUUUCACCAAGCCUAUAUGAAAAGCAGAAACAUAUACAAAAGAAAAAAUCAACAGUUAAGUGAUCUGAAAAGUGAAGAUGGUCGAGAAGAACAGGUAGAAGAAGAUCCACGAAGCGCACAGCCACAACACUACUGCCUGCAU